Molecule: long non-coding RNA, 1576 nt
Organism: Phascolarctos cinereus (koala)
Lineage: Eukaryota; Metazoa; Chordata; Mammalia; Diprotodontia; Phascolarctidae
Source: Ensembl
AGAGUGAACUCCUCUACUGGGGGCGGGAAUGAGUCAGUCCCGGGCUCUCGUGCUGGGGCUUGGGGGUGGGGUCUGCGCGCGGGAUUCGGGGGCGCGGGGACCACAGCUGUCUGACUGAGAAAUUCUCGAGUUUCCGAGUGGGAGGGUCGCGCGAGGCCGUGAGGGGUCUCUGGGGAGCGGAGCCACGCGCUGCCUUCUCCCAGGUGCAGAGGCCGGUUAGGAUUUGAAUUCCGUACCCUGCGCUCUCAACGGCAGUCGGGCUGAGGGGAGACUGGAGGAGCCUAGUCCCGUCUCCUCUUCACCAUGCCAUUUCUUGAAAAAGAGGAAAACAGUGAACCUAUGUUGAUGAAAAAUGAAACACGCCUGCAAAUCUUAAAGAACAAGGAGCAGAGAAAGAGACUUGUUCAUGAAAUUUGUACUUUUUUAGAUAGCAGCCAGUCUGUCCAAGAAAUUGAUGCUUUAAGGACAGAAAACAGGAAAUUAAAAAAUGCGAACUCAAGGCUUCGAUAUAAGACAAAGGAUUGGGCAUUAAAGAAAGAAGAAUAUGAAAAUGAGAUUGAGAGGCUGUCUAGUGAGAUAUCAAAUUAUUUAAAUGCCACCAAUUUUUGGUAUCAAGACACAGAGCUUCUUAAUGAUGAGCAUAAUAAUAUACCAAGGGAACAGGCAAACAAUGUAAGACACACAAGUAAAAAACACUUAUCACAGGACGAAUAUGAACAAUAGAAGAGCAGCUAGCUACUAUUUUUAAAGGCCUGGACAACAGAUUGUUUUAUGUUGCUUCAAGUUUGUCUUCUCAUUGAAUUACUCAAUUGUAUGAAUGAAUUAAAGAGACAUGUUAUCUCAGUUCUUUCAAGUUAGUAUAAUUUUGGUUAAAUGUUUAUGGGGAGUAGCUCUUAAGAUACUGAUUAACAGUGUUGUGUAGUGGACUGAAAUCUGACCUUAGAGCCAGGAAGAUUUGGAUUCAAGUCCUGCCUCUGACUCAUGGUCAGUGUUCAAGGAAAUUUUUUUCUUAAAAGGCAUUUGGGGUUAAGUGACUUGCCAAGGUCAUGCAGCUAGUAAGUGUCUGAGGUCGGAUUUGAAUUCAGGUCUUUCUGACACCAGGGCCAGUGCUCUAUUCACUGUGCCACCUAGCUGCCCCUUCUAGGGGAAUGAAGUUGCAGAGAAAGUACCAACUUGCUUUGGUAGAAUGAGUUCCUUUCUUGGAAUUCCAAAAUCAUUGAGAUCACAGGUCUAUCACUAAAUAGUACCCUAAUAUGUAUAAGUUAGCAGGCCCUUCAUCUAGGGUUAACUACAAGUUUGUAUCACUUUGUAGAAAAUCUCUGGAUCAUCUGGUUAGAGCAAUAUGACCUAAAUCUUAAACAACAGUGAAAUUUUAGACAUUUUUUUUACAGUAAGAAAAUAUUCAUAAAUAUGCCUCUAUAAAAAUACAAGAUACUUGAACCAUGUAAGUGAAAAAGGGAUCAAUAUGUUUUAUUAUUUCUUGCUAUUAAAAAAUGAAUGUCAGAGGCCUUGGUACUUAGGUGAUUGAUUUAUUAGCAUUCACAUUUAGGCUCAGCAGAAUGGGUAUGAACUGCAG